RNAcentral lists this ribosomal RNA (253 nucleotides) under uncultured bacterium. Its description in RNAcentral is "partial 16S ribosomal RNA". It matches the Rfam family "Bacterial small subunit ribosomal RNA", at positions 524 to 776 of the family's 1533-position model. The record is from RNAcentral.
UACGUAGGUGGCGAGCGUUGUCCGGAUUUAUUGGGCGUAAAGCGCGCGUAGGUGGUGUGGUAAGUCCUGUGUGAAAUCUCCCGGCUCAACUGGGAGGGUGCGGAGGAGACUGCCAGACUAGAGGCACUCAGAGGCCGGUGGAAUUCCCGGUGUAGUGGUGAAAUGCGUAGAGAUCGGGAGGAACACCAGUGGCGAAGGCGGCCGGCUGGGGGUGGCCUGACGCUGAGGCGCGAAAGCGUGGGGAGCGAACCGG